This is a long non-coding RNA of Populus nigra (black poplar), 444 nucleotides long. RefSeq lists it as uncharacterized. The record is from RefSeq and is a predicted model, not a curated record. The transcript is spliced from 2 exons. NCBI's taxonomy places the organism in Eukaryota, Viridiplantae, Streptophyta, Magnoliopsida, Malpighiales, Salicaceae.
UCUGCUUCUCCUUCCCCUUCCCUUUCUUCUUUUCCUUCGUUUUCUUCUUAUGGCAGUUUUCCCUAGGGCUAGGGUUUUAGGUUCAUCAUGGGACGCUCCGGUCCAAUAAUUCGGGCGGGCAGGCUCUGGUCGAAUAAUGCCUGCGACAAAACAAAACAAAACCUUCCCCUCUCUUUCUCAAACCCUACCAGAAGAAGGUAAUGCAACGAAGCUGUGAUGACAUUUUUGGUGGAAGAUUUCAGACAUUACUUUAAGGAACAAAUUGAUUGGUUAUUUUCGGCGAGGUAAAUGGGUGUUCUGUGUAAAAGGUUAAUGGACUGUUUAGUCCAUCUGAUUUUUCUUUUUUUGAUCCCUCUAUAUAAUUGUUUUGUAAAUAUAGAGGGAAGAAUUUGGUUGUAAAUGAUAUCAAAUUUUAUUUCCAAGUUGAUUCUAUUAUAUUGUAAA